AGCGGGAAAAGCUCAAAUUUAAAAUCUGGCGGUCUUUGGCCGUCCGAGUUGUAGUCUGGAGAAGUGCUUUCCGCGCUGGACCGUGUAUAAGUCUCUUGGAACAGAGCGUCAUAGAGGGUGAGAAUCCCGUCUUUGACACGGACUACCAGUGCUUUGUGAUGCGCUCUCAAAGAGUCGAGUUGUUUGGGAAUGCAGCUCAAAAUGGGUGGUGAAUUCCAUCUAAAGCUAAAUAUUGGCGAGAGACCGAUAGCGAACAAGUACCGUGAGGGAAAGAUGAAAAGCACUUUGGAAAGAGAGUUAAACAGUACGUGAAAUUGCUGAAAGGGAAACGCUUGAAGUCAGUCGCGUUGUCCGGAACUCAGCCUUGCUUUUGCUUGGUGCACUUUCCGGAUGACGGGUCAGCAUCGAUUUUGACCGUCGGAAAAGGGCUGGAGUAAUGUGGCACCUCCGGGUGUGUUAUAGACUCUGGUCGCAUACGGCGGUUGGGAUCGAGGAACGCAGCGCGCCGCAAGGCAGGGGUUCGCCCACUUUCGCGCUUAGGAUGCUGGCAUAAUGGCUUAAACGACCCGUCUUGAAACACGGACCAAGGAGUCUAACAUACCUGCGAGUGUUUGGGUGGAAAACCCGAGCGCGUAAUGAAAGUGAAAGUUGAGAUCCCUGUCGUGGGGAGCAUCGACGCCCGGACCAGACGUUCUCUGRCGGAUCCGCGGUAGAGCAUGUAUGUUGGGACCCGAAAGAUGGUGAACUAUGCCUGAAUAGGGUGAAGCCAGAGGAAACUCUGGUGGAGGCUCGUAGCGAUUCUGACGUGCAAAUCGAUCGUCAAAUUUGGGUAUAGGGGCGAAA
This 843-nucleotide ribosomal RNA is filed under the name Ganoderma sp. RNAcentral describes it as "partial large subunit ribosomal RNA". The record is from RNAcentral. Lineage: Eukaryota; Fungi; Basidiomycota; Agaricomycetes; Polyporales; Polyporaceae.